UACGUAGGGUGCGAGCGUUAUUCGGAAUUACUGGGCGUAAAGCGUGCGCAGGCGGUUUUGUAAGUCAGAUGUGAAAUCCCCGGGCUCAACCUGGGAAUGGCAUUUGGGACUGCAAGGCUUGAGUUUGGCAGAGGAGACUGGAAUUCCUGGUGUAGCAGUGAAAUGCGUAGAUAUCAGGAGGAAUACCGAUGGCGAAGGCAGGUCUCUGGGCUAUAACUGACGCUCAUGCACGAAAGCGUGGGGAGCAAACAGG
This 253-nucleotide ribosomal RNA is filed under the name uncultured bacterium. RNAcentral describes it as "partial 16S ribosomal RNA". It matches the Rfam family "Bacterial small subunit ribosomal RNA", at positions 524 to 776 of the family's 1533-position model. The record is from RNAcentral.